This 275-nucleotide ribosomal RNA is filed under the name uncultured bacterium. Its description in RNAcentral is "partial 16S ribosomal RNA". It matches the Rfam family "Bacterial small subunit ribosomal RNA", at positions 338 to 621 of the family's 1533-position model. The record is from RNAcentral.
CCUACGGGUGGCUGCAGUCGAGGAUCUUCGGCAAUGGGGGAAACCCUGACCGAGCGAUGCCGCGUGGGCGACGAAGGCCUUCGGGUUGUAAAGCCCUGUCGAGGGGGGGAAAAGGGUAACACCUUGAUCGAUCCCUGGAGGAAGCACGGGCUAAGUUCGUGCCAGCAGCCGCGGUAAGACGAACCGUGCGAACGUUGUUCGGAAUCACUGGGCUUAAAGGGCGCGUAGGCGGGCUGGCGAGUCCGGGGUGAAAUUCACCGGCUUAACCGGUGAAC